CAGCACGGUACUGUUACUAGGGAUCAUUUCUAUAGUUUGUUACUAGUGAAAUGCAUUUUUAAAGUGUCUCGCUAACCAUGAUAAGGAGCUACCGUGUUCUCGACUGAGCGUGAAGUGGGUUUUGAAUGUGAAUUUACUGUAGCUGUUCCAGGCCAUUGAUGACCGUUCCUCCCUCUUUUGGGGGUGGAGGAAGAGAACACUAUAUAAGU
Molecule: small nucleolar RNA, 209 nt
Organism: Polyodon spathula (Mississippi paddlefish)
Lineage: Eukaryota; Metazoa; Chordata; Actinopteri; Acipenseriformes; Polyodontidae
Product: small nucleolar RNA U3
Exons: 1
Source: RefSeq, a predicted model, not a curated record